CAUUAAGAAGCUAUGAAAUAGCACUAGCCUUUUAAGCUAGAGAUAGGGGAACCACACUCCUCCUUAAUGA
Molecule: transfer RNA, 70 nt
Filed under: Pericrocotus ethologus (long-tailed minivet)
Lineage: Eukaryota; Metazoa; Chordata; Aves; Passeriformes; Campephagidae
Description: tRNA-Lys
Source: RNAcentral